GACGAACGCUGGCGGCGUGCCUAAUACAUGCAAGUUGAGCGCUGAAGGUUGGUACUUGUCCCGACUGGAUGAGCAGCGAACGGGUGAGUAGCGCGUGGGGAAUCUGCCUUUGAGCGGGGGACAACAUUUGGAAACGAAUGCUAAUACCGCAUAAAAACUUUAAACACAAGUUUUAAGUUUGAAAGAUGCAAUUGCAUCACUCAAAGAUGAUCCCGCGUUGUAUUAGCUAGUUGGUGAGGUAAAGGCUCACCAAGGCGAUGAUACAUAGCCGACCUGAGAGGGUGGUCGGCCACAUUGGGACUGAGACACGGCCCAAACUCCUACGGGAGGCAGCAGUAGGGAAUCUUCGGCAAUGGACGAAAGUCUGACCGAGCAACGCCGCGUGAGUGAAGAAGGUUUUCGGAUCGUAAAACUCUGUUGGUAGAGAAGAACGUUGGUGAGAGUGGAAAGCUCAUCAAGUGACGGUAACUACCCAGAAAGGGACGGCUAACUACGUG
This 497-nucleotide ribosomal RNA is filed under the name uncultured bacterium. RNAcentral's name for it is "partial 16S ribosomal RNA". It matches the Rfam family "Bacterial small subunit ribosomal RNA", at positions 28 to 507 of the family's 1533-position model. The record is from RNAcentral.